RNAcentral lists this ribosomal RNA (379 nucleotides) under uncultured eukaryote. Its description in RNAcentral is "partial 18S ribosomal RNA". It matches the Rfam family "Eukaryotic small subunit ribosomal RNA", at positions 592 to 976 of the family's 1831-position model. The record is from RNAcentral.
CAAUAGCGUAUAUUUAAGUUGUUGCAGUUAAAAAGCUCGUAGUUGGAUUUCGGAUGGGACUUGCCGGUCCGUCGUUUCGAUGUGCACUGGCCAGUCCUAUCUUGUUGUCGGGGACUAGCUCCUGGGCUUCACUGUCCGGGACUAGGAGCUGACGAGGUUACUUUGAGUAAAUUAGAGUGUUCAAAGCAAGCCUUCGCUCUGAAUAUAAUAGCAUGGGAUAACACGACAGGACUCUGGCCUAUCGUGUUGGUCUGUAGGACCGGAGUAAUGAUUAAGAGGAACAGUCGGGGGCAUUCGUAUUCCAUUGUCAGAGGUGAAAUUCUUAGAUUUAUGGAAGACGAACAUCUGCGAAAGCAUUUGCCAAGGAUGUUUUCAUUGA